GACGUAGGGGGCAAGCGUUGUCCGGAUUUAUUGGGCGUAAAGAGCUCGUAGGCGGCUCAGUAAGUCGGGUGUGAAAACUCCAGGCUCAACCUGGAGACGCCACUCGAUACUGCUGUGGCUAGAGUCCGGUAGGGGCGCGUGGAAUUCCCGGUGUAGCGGUGAAAUGCAUAGAUAUCGGGAGGAACACCAGUGGCGAAGGCGGCGCGCUGGGCCGGAACUGACGCUGAGGAGCGAAAGCGUGGGGAGCAAACAGG
This 254-nucleotide unclassified non-coding RNA is filed under the name uncultured Acidimicrobiia bacterium. Its description in RNAcentral is "contains 16S-23S intergenic spacer region". It matches the Rfam family "Bacterial small subunit ribosomal RNA", at positions 524 to 776 of the family's 1533-position model. Lineage: Bacteria; Bacillati; Actinomycetota; Acidimicrobiia. The record is from RNAcentral.